RNAcentral lists this ribosomal RNA (540 nucleotides) under uncultured Acidithiobacillus sp. Its description in RNAcentral is "bacterial SSU rRNA". It matches the Rfam family "Bacterial small subunit ribosomal RNA", at positions 370 to 902 of the family's 1533-position model. Lineage: Bacteria; Pseudomonadati; Pseudomonadota; Acidithiobacillia; Acidithiobacillales; Acidithiobacillaceae. The record is from RNAcentral.
AAUGGGGGCAACCCUGACGAAGCAAUGCCGCGUGGAUGAAGAAGGCCUUCGGGUUGUAAAGUCCUUUCGUGGAGGACGAAAAGGHGGGUUCUAAUACAAUCUGCUAUUGACGUGAAUCCAAGAAGAAGCACCGGCUAACUCCGUGCCAGCAGCCGCGGUAAUACGGGGGGUGCAAGCGUUAAUCGGAAUCACUGGGCGUAAAGGGUGCGUAGGCGGUACGUUAGGUCUGUCGUGAAAUCCCCGGGCUCAACCUGGGAAUGGCGGURGAAACCGGCGCACUAGAGUAUGGGAGAGGGUGGUGGAAUUCCAGGUGUAGCGGYGAAAUGCGUAGAKAUCUGGAGGAACAUCAGUGGCGAAGGCGGCCACCUGGCCCAAUACUGACGCUGAGGCACGAAAGCGUGGGGAGCAAACAGGAUUAGAUACCCUGGUAGUCCACGCCCUAAACGAUGAAUACUAGAUGUUUGGUGCCUAGCGUACUGAGUGUCGUAGCUAACGCGAUAAGUAUUCCGCCUGGGAAGUACGGCCGCAAGGUUAAAACUC